Oncorhynchus gorbuscha (pink salmon) is the source of this 686-nucleotide long non-coding RNA. RefSeq lists it as uncharacterized. NCBI's taxonomy places the organism in Eukaryota, Metazoa, Chordata, Actinopteri, Salmoniformes, Salmonidae. The record is from RefSeq and is a predicted model, not a curated record. The transcript has 2 exons.
UCAGAAUUAAAUAUGCUUAAAAAGAAUUAUAUGGUUGGUGUGGUGGUACGUUUGAUCCUCGUCCCAGUCAGCAGUGAGGAUACAGGCAGAAACUCCUGUACAGUAGAAGGCUACAAUGAUCUCAACUUUCCUGUGUUGUCUGUGGGGGAACAAUCGUCUUUGAAGGAAGCAGCUGUAGGAAUCAUAGUGUAUGUUCUGAUUCUCAUCCUCUGGCUUUAAGUGGUUCAGGUGAGUGAGAGGAAUUAACCCCUUUUCAUAUUCUGUUUUAUAAUCAUUGAUCUCAAUAUUAAACUUGAUUUUAAUUUCUGAAUUAAUUCAUCCAAUCAUCUGUUCAUUUAUUUAUUCUUUCCAUCAUUCGCAAAAACAGGGAGAAGGCCUCCAAAUCCACCUCUGACAGAAGAGACACAGCAGAGAAUGGACUUGUGAGUCUGUUGGAAUCAGCUGACUGACAACGCGAGACGCUAGUCCAAUUUAUGUCAACGGCUCAGGCAUGGCCAUGACCCCUUCUGCAGCACAGACAGCAGACACAGAUGAUCAGGAUGAUGUUCACAACAUCAGUAUUCACCACAGAAACCAGAAAGUGCCUCUAUAUUCCACCGUCCAACUGCCUCAAACCCAGAAAUAGGUUGGGUUCUUCUAUGUGUGUAUUGGCAGUUUUUAAAAUAAAUUAAAAAGGUGCAAACUGC